Molecule: long non-coding RNA, 764 nt
Filed under: Chinchilla lanigera (long-tailed chinchilla)
Lineage: Eukaryota; Metazoa; Chordata; Mammalia; Rodentia; Chinchillidae
Description: lncRNA (ENSCLAG00000028160.1)
Source: RNAcentral
CACAAAAGAACACUAAUUUCUGGAAAUGUCAUACAAAGUGGUUGCUGCCAUGUUGUCUGUGUAGUUCAGAGCAGCAGUGGAAGUGUCUGUGUGGCUCCGCACUCUGACUCAACUCUGACUCAAGCUUCUUUUAUCUUUCUAGUAAAAACAGUUCAGGUCUGUUCAGGCACUACAUAUAUAUCUCUUUGACAUGUGUGUUUUUUUUUUUUUUUUUUUUUUUUAAAUCUUUUCUUAGAACCUGGAAGCCAGGCCAAUGUCUGCUGUCUGCCAUGUGAGGACACAGUGGGAAGAUGGAAGCUUACAAGCCAGAAAGAAGACCCUUUCAAGAAUCUGACCAUGCUGGCAUCCUGACCUUGGACCUCUAGACUGUGGGAAAUAAUGUCUGUUGUUUUGACUGCCUGGUUUAUGGUAUAUCACUGUGGCAGACUGAGCUAAGACAAAAGUCAUUUUCUAAGGUCAGAAGCUCAGAAUAAAGAACCAUUUCUACCUAAGACCAGCACAUUUUUCCACACAUGGUGCUUUUUAUGAGAACCGUGUCUGCAGUAGAACAACCUGAAAGGACUGAAACGAUCUUCUCCAGUUUAACUGUCCUGAAGACAGCGUCACGGUUGACAGACUUAAUCAGAUGUCUCUCCCUGUCACUUGCAAAUCCACUUUUGAUAUUUUUCUUAACUUGGGCCCCUUGGGCUCCACCCUCUCUCCAGACCAGAGUGGGAGCUGCUCUCUGGAAAGCUGGUCUGGAACCAGCUAUAGGGAAGAGUGAG